UAGGGAAUCUUCCGCAAUGGACGCAAGUCUGACGGAGCAACGCCGCGUGAGUGAAGAAGGAUUUCGGUUCGUAAAACUCUGUUGUUAGAGAAGAACAGCGCAUAGAGUAACUGUUAUGCGUGUGACGGUAUCUAACCAGAAAGCCACGGCUAACUACGUGCCAGCAGCCGCGGUAAUACGUAGGUGGCAAGCGUUGUCCGGAUUUAUUGGGCGUAAAGCGAGCGCAGGCGGUCAAUUAAGUCUGAUGUGAAAGCCCCCGGCUCAACCGGGGAGGGUCAUUGGAAACUGGUUGACUUGAGUGCAGAAGAGGAGAGUGGAAUUCCAUGUGUAGCCGUGAAAUGCGUAGAUAUAUGGAGGAACACCAGUGGCGAAGGCGACUCUCUGGUCUGUAACUGACGCUGAGGCUCGAAAGCGUGGGUAGCAAACAGG
Molecule: ribosomal RNA, 429 nt
Filed under: Bacteroidota bacterium
Lineage: Bacteria; Pseudomonadati; Bacteroidota
Description: Bacteroidetes bacterium partial 16S ribosomal RNA
Rfam family: Bacterial small subunit ribosomal RNA
Source: RNAcentral